GCUGCAAUGACGCAAUGGCAGCGUGCUGGUCUUCGGAACCAGAAGUUGCGGGUUCGAGUCCCGCUUGCGGCU
This is a transfer RNA of Plasmodiophora brassicae, 72 nucleotides long. It matches the Rfam family "tRNA". From Rfam's summary of the family: Transfer RNA (tRNA) molecules are approximately 80 nucleotides in length. NCBI's taxonomy places the organism in Eukaryota, Endomyxa, Phytomyxea, Plasmodiophorida, Plasmodiophoridae. The record is from Rfam.